UCUGCCUCGUUAAGAUUCUAAGAUUAGUAGUUUAACCCUAAAAUCUGUAAAAUUAAAGGGAUUCAUUACCACUCUGCCUCAUUAAGAUUCUAAGAUUAGGGUUUUUAUUUCCGAAAAAAAUCGCAACAUCAUUUUGAUAACGAUUAAUUUUACAGGUUUUAGGGCUCACGAGGUCUCUAUAUAUGCCAUACAGCUCUUUCUCUCGCUAACCAUUUAAUUUCGGAUUUUUACGCUCUUAUUUCUGGGUUUUUGUUUUGUUCUCAAUGAAGUUGCACAUAGUUCUGCUAAAAAUCAAGCAUUAUCACUGCAAUGGUUUUAUAGCUUUUAUCUGUGCAAACAAAAAAACUUAGGUGCCUCACUGCUUGAAAAUUCUUCUUCGAUAGCGAAGUGGAGGAUUUUUCAAUGAAGAGGCCCACAUUGCAUUACAGGGUUUCGAUUAACAGGUUCUUUCAGAACUAUCUUUUUAGCCGCAUUCUCUUUUGCUAGUUUUUUCCUCUUUCGUUUUGGAUUCAAAGUUAUAAUUUUAAUUUGGUGUCUAGUUGUACAUCACGAUCACAUGAUAAACAUGCUGUAUGCGUCUUAGCGUUUUGGAAAUAUAAGUCCUGGAUAUAUCCUACCAGCUUUUAUUUAUAAAAAAAUACCGUGCGCUGCUUUUCGCAUCAAAUUUCCAUUGUUAUUGGUUGUUUUGACCUGGUUGCACAAGGGGCAUGCUUUGAAACACAUUAUAGAAAGUUUCACCUUCUAUCUCGAUUUUUUUUGUUUUUUUUAUUUGUAAACUUUUUUAAUCAUGUUAUGUUGUGUUUGAUUUAGUGUGCUUCUUGUGGGUUAGGGUUUGUAUUGGUUAGUAUCGUGUUAUGUAUUCUCCUAUAUUUUUUAUGUAUUAAACAACAGCAGACAGUAUCUUAAUGAUAUGCAGAUCAUUUACACAUAAAUGCAGAGGUCAUUCUGAGGGCACCAAAACUACUUAGAUGUUAGGUUAGACAAGCUGAUUGAGAAGUGAAAAACAUAACUACUACCAUUACAGAUGCCUAAUACAUAUCUCUGAGGGUACCAAAACUACUUAGAUGUUAGGUUAGACAAGCUGAUUGAGAAGUGAAAAACAUAACUACUACCAUAACAGAUGCCUAAUCCAUACCCUGCUAUUAACAACUGAUAACGUUUAUUGUUCUUCAUACUCCCCCAUUAUGAGCUUGUGAAUAAAAACAAGUAAAAGAUAUUCAUUAGUUUAUCCCAUUUCUCCUCCAUAAUGUACAUUGGGAAGAAGACUAAGUAAACUAUGAAGUGAUUGAAAGAUUUGAACAAGGGAGCCUGUGAAAUAUUAGCAAUGUGUUGUUGUGCGACAAUAUAUGAGUUCAACCGAGCCUUGUUGAACCAACUAAUGGAUGUAGUGCUUAGUUUUGUCAUGGAACACUGGAUUUUUACUUAAUUUGAAUAGUAUUCUGUCUGUGACAAUACAGCAGUGGGACCAUUCUGUUGUUGCUGUAGGUAUUUAUCAUCCUUAUCAACCAAACAGCUUGACAAGCACAGUAGAAGUGGCAGUUUUCUAUUCUGAAAGGGAUAUAAUGGGUUGUUUCUUGAAUGUCUAGGAAAUGAUCAUAGAAUGAAGAUGGAGUGUAUAAUUGGAAGUAGGAUUCUGAUCACCUCUCAUUCUUCUCAACCAAACAGCUUGACAAGCAGCAGGAGUGGCAGUUUUGUAUUCAGCAUUUCUCUCAGAAGGAGAUAUGGUGGGUUGUUUCUUGGAUGUGUAGGGAAUGCUAUAUAGAAUGAAGAUUAAAUGUAUAAGUGGAAGUAGAGCUCUCAACAUCUAUCCAAUCAAAACCAUUAUGUUCAACCAAUUUACUCACCUUGGAAUACUGAAAAUAGAUACAGUAAUGUUGGGUGCCUCAAAGAUAUGUGACAAUUAGCAGCACUCCAAGGUGUUUCCUUAAGUUUUGACAUGAGCUUAGAUAUUAGGCUUACAACAUACGUGAUAUUUGGUCAAAUAGUGAGAACAUCCAACUAGUUAUUUACAGAGUAGGACUAAUAGGAGAAUUAUCAGGAUUGUACAAGUUUAACUCCAACUUCCAUAGGCGUGGCCAAGGGAAAUACGUCAUUUUGUAUGUUGUCAACUUCAAGGACAAGAAAAUAAUGUAUCUGUUAUAAAUCUAAAUUUCAAAAUUUUAAACUGUAGUUUUUCUAAAUUCAGAAAAUAAAGAGGAUUUAACAUUCAUUUGAUAAUCGUUCCAUCCAUUUUGAGUUUUAAAAAAACAAGACUAAUCUAACAAUAUCCAUUUUGGCCUUUUAUCAUGAGUAUAUUGUGCCUUUUCAUCAAAUGCAUUUCUAUUUAUGAGUAUAUUUUUACCUACAGAAUCAUACUAUCUUAAGCGUUGUUUUUAAGAACCAUAACCAAUAAAAAUGCACUUGUAAGUAUUUUUCAUCCAACUCUGUUCUUUAUUCAUAAGUACAUGUGCAUAAGAAACACAACGAAGCUUGUUUACGAAUCAUUCCAUGAAUUGCUUUUUUGGGACUUCUAUUCAACGAUUGCCUCUGUAAAAACUUUUCUCUAGGUUCUUUUUUUCAUUAUGUUUCAGCUAUUUCAACAGUAGUUUUAUUAUUCCUCUUAGCAACUUUGUUUUACUGUGGAUUUAGUAAGUGGUAAACUCUCUUUGAAUCUCUUUGAAUCCCAUUUUGUCUAUAGAAAUAGAAAAUUACAUUUGACCUAUGCACUCAACCCAUGAUAUGAUAUUAUGACCUUAAUACAUUGACCACUUUUUAAUUCAACGCUCUCAUUAAAAAUUCUCUGAUUUAAACUCUUUGAAUCCCAUGUUGUCUAUAGAAAUAAAAAAUUACAUUUGACCUAUGCUCUUCCCUAUUAUCUGAUUUGAUUAUCUUAAUAUAUUGACACUUAUUUUUUCAGCAACUGUUUGAAAUCAACCAUCUUAUUAAAAACUUUCCGUUUAAUCAGCCUAUCAGUAUAUCAAAGGUUUAUGAGAAAAAUCAGUAAUUAAAGUUAUAGGGAAUACUUAGAUUUAUUUAGUGAGAAAGUUGCCAUAGGACAACAAUCAAAAAAGUAAUGCAAUGCUGUUUUUCAAACAAACAUUGUUCACUAGGUUCCUUUUUAUUUUUGGUUUGAGGUUUCAAUUUUUUUUUAGGUUGACCCAUUUGGUACAAUUGAACGGAGCUAAUACUUCUAUCCCUUCUUUCAAAGGCAUAGUGUAGAGUGGUAACUAACUGUACCUUCACAAUAUUAACCCGAGCAUUCUACUUGUGACAUACCUUGACUAUCUUAUAGACAUUCUUCUUAUUUGGGUAUUGUGACCGACGCUUCUGAUGCUGCUUGUGACUGAUCAAUAUUAUAUGGUCAUUUCUAGUGAGCUAUUUUCCUGCAGUUUUUUUUCUGAAUUUUAGUCUUUUAUAUAGUAUAUUGUAGACAAUGAACAGAUAGAAUGAGUUUUCUCGAAGUUGACAUGUAGAUUAGAAUUGUGGCUAGUGAGUCGGCAAAAUUGAAAACAGGUAUCAUAUUUUUGUUUAAUGCUAUUUGAUUGUGGUAAAUAUCAUGGUAAAAGACUUGUCUGGAUAUAUGUACCCAGCGAACUCAGUUUAUCUUUACAGGAGCAAUAUUUGCAUCUGCUUGUACCUAACUGCUACUUGAAAGUUUUAGAUAUUUAUGAGCAUCUACAUGAUCUUUUCUGUCUAUCUCAACGUGGCCGGUGUAUUAAAAACCAUAUCCCCUUCAUCUCUUAUACCUGUCUGGCUGGUGUAUUGAGGAAACUGGCAAUUGGCAAUUGGUAGAAAGGGGUUUAUUUGAGAGAAAUAUUAUUAAUCGUCAUUCUAAUAUUCAUAUGCUUGAAAUGUAACUGUGGAAAAUAAUAUGCAGAGUUCCAUACAGGAGCGAAAUUAAUAAACUUAAUUUCAAACUCAAACAGUGUGUCAGCAUUUACUUAGCUAGAAAUCACACUUAACCUGCAAAUUACAGGUAUUUGUAAAGAGUAUACACAAUCGAGUGGAUAAUUUGAGGUUUAGGUUGAUAGUGUAUAAUGACAGUUUCCCCUCCUUUUGAAUGAGUGGGCAUUAAAAUAUGUUAAAUAUUCUAAGAAAACCCAAAUGCUGAAAUUCAAGGACAACCAAAUCUCUAAAUGCUAGUUAAAUAACCAGUUGCUUUAAGCAAAAAGGAACAGCAAUGCAGAAGAGUGCUACACAGCAGUUAAGUUGAUUUAGGGGGACGCUAGAUGCAUCUUCUUGCAUGGACUGCUAUGCAUGAAUUGAGAGAGAAUUCUGUGGUACACAAGCAUAAUAUAAACAUGAGAUGUGCGUUACAUAGCUACCAAGCUGUCUUUAUUGUUUAGCUCUUGAUCAUGAAAGUUGGUAGAUUCUAUAUGAACCUCAAGAUCUAAUUUUUGUUUUGUUUUUUAUUAUGAACAUGGCCUAGCGGACUAUAAACUUUGUUUAAAUUCAAAGGGAAAAAGCCGCUCUCGAAUGGAGGGCCAGAACUAUCUAAAGGAUCUAUCAAUGCUGGAAGAAGGUGUUGCUCCAGUUGCAUAUGUUUUGAGAAACUCAAAAUCCCAUUUAGCUUGGUGUUUGUAAAGAGCGUCAUUCUGACCUCUAGCAGGUUUUAUGAAUGGUAUAUCCAGGGACUUGAGAAAGCUAUGUUGUGCUCAGGACAUAUUGCAAAUAUCCCUAGGUGUGAAGGGAGCCCAAAACCAGUUACUGUGGCAUUGCUGUUUGAUCAACAAAACAUUCACACAUCUCUGUUAAACUUGUAUCUGUGAGUGGUUGAUAGGAAGCUCUCCCUGAGAGUUAUGUUGAUGGCGUGACGUAUAAUAGCAGCAGUAGCCUUGAAGACUUUUUUUAGUCUUGAAUCUGUUGGAUCUCCUGAGAAGGUGGUCUGCCUCUUUUUUGGCUCCGGUCUAACCAAUGUAUCCAGUUUGCUGAUCUUCAGAAACUGUUUGAAAUGGAAUGAGAAUGAGGUAUUUAUAGACAUCAGGUGGUUGCUGGAUACAUGUUUUAUGAUGAUUCGGAUGCCUAAAGUUUUGCAGAGGGAGGAUUCCUGCACUGCAUUCUCUUGUGCCAAAGGUAGCCAUCACCACCUUCUCAUGAGUGAACCCCGCAAGUUGUGGAAGGUGUGGUAAAUGGAUAGAUCUAGAUUAUGCUACGUUCUUUCGGAGUUGUGGACUAGGCCUUCUCUCUUUAUAAACAUGCCUAAUGGUAAAGGCUGUGAGAGAUUCAAGUAGGAGCCAACAUUGCCUUAAGAUGUUAUAAUUUUCCUAUUUGGGAAUCUUUUCUUCCUUCCAGUUAACGAUGACUGUUGAAUCUUCUUCUGUUUGAACUUGCCUGGCAACAAAUUGUCCAAAAAUUUGCAAUCUAAGGAGAAGUGCCUCGAAUUCAUUUCA
This is a long non-coding RNA of Cryptomeria japonica (Japanese cedar), 5369 nucleotides long. RefSeq lists it as uncharacterized. The transcript is spliced from 2 exons. The record is from RefSeq and is a predicted model, not a curated record. Lineage: Eukaryota; Viridiplantae; Streptophyta; Pinopsida; Cupressales; Cupressaceae.